Marmota flaviventris (yellow-bellied marmot) is the source of this 676-nucleotide long non-coding RNA. RefSeq lists it as uncharacterized. The record is from RefSeq and is a predicted model, not a curated record. Lineage: Eukaryota; Metazoa; Chordata; Mammalia; Rodentia; Sciuridae.
CCCAUGCGUCCUUUCUCCUGUCUCUCGCGCUGGUGGUGUCUGGGCCUGGAACCACGAGUCCGGUGCCCUUAGCCGUCUUAGCUUGCUUCCAUGGGCCCGCGCUCGUUCGGGCUGCCUCUAGAGACUGCGGGAUGUAGAGUGCCUGGCCGCGCGUCUUGGCCUGGGCUACAGGCCACGACGGCCGCCUGCGCAGUGUGACGGGUCGGCACCCGCGGGGCGGUGUCCUUUUCCCGUCUUUGCUGGCGCAGCCGUACGCUGGCGCCUGACCCGUGGAUGAGGCGAGCGGGCGGCCCGGUGCUGGAAACGAGUUGGCCAUGCCAGAUCAAGAUGCUAUGAAGAUGGUGGCGAGUGAGGGUCAUGGUGAUGAAAUGCGACAACUUCAGGACUUGGUUGCCCCCAGGUUUCCUGGAAGUGUGUGAUAUUGAAGAGUGAAAAGACCAGCUUGUUUCUGGAGUUGUGCUUUAGAUUAAGGUCUUUGUAACCAGAAAGUUGUCUUCAUCUGUGAUAAUUGGCUACAGAGUUGGGAAAACACCAUGGGAAGGAAGAUGCAGACAAAAAGGUGACCAGUUAUUAAAGAAGAAAACGGUAGCUUUGUAAGCAGAUUUUUUUCUUUGUAAAUGCUGUGAUAUGUAGCUAUCGGUAAGCAAUAAAGCGUUUUGGAAAUGUUUGUCCCUCA